Molecule: transfer RNA, 76 nt
Filed under: Escherichia coli
Lineage: Bacteria; Pseudomonadati; Pseudomonadota; Gammaproteobacteria; Enterobacterales; Enterobacteriaceae
Also listed under: 1 other name
Description: tRNA-Thr
Rfam family: tRNA
About the family: Transfer RNA (tRNA) molecules are approximately 80 nucleotides in length.
Source: RNAcentral
GCCGGCCUAGCUCGAUUGGUAGAGCAACUGACUUGUAAUCAGUAGGUUGGGGGUUCAAGUCCUCUGGCCGGCACCA